This 102-nucleotide non-coding RNA is filed under the name Bacillus sp. (in: firmicutes). Its description in RNAcentral is "Bacillus sp. Guanine sequence". It matches the Rfam family "Purine riboswitch aptamer". From Rfam's summary of the family: Riboswitches are metabolite binding domains within certain messenger RNAs that serve as precision sensors for their corresponding targets. Lineage: Bacteria; Bacillati; Bacillota; Bacilli; Caryophanales; Bacillaceae. The record is from RNAcentral.
UUUCUUAAUUGGAUAAGCACUCAUAUAAUCGUGGGGAUAUGGCUCACAAGUUUCUACCGAGUAACCGUAAAUUACUCGACUAUGGGUGGAGUUUAUAUGUAG